Molecule: ribosomal RNA, 468 nt
Filed under: uncultured bacterium
Lineage: Bacteria
Description: partial 16S ribosomal RNA
Rfam family: Bacterial small subunit ribosomal RNA
Source: RNAcentral
GACGAACGCUGGCGGCGUGCUUAACACAUGCAAGUCGAACGGACAGGCCCUGCUUUUGUGGGGUGCUCGAGUGGCGAACGGGUGAGUAACACGUGUGUAACCUGCCCUUGUCAUUGGGGUAACUUCAGGAAACUGGGGCUAAUACCGGAUAGGAGCUCCUGCUGCAUGGUGGGGGAUGGAAAGUUUCGGCGGUUGGGGAUGGACUCGAGGCUUAUCAGCCUGUUGGUGGGGUAGUGGCUUACCAAGGCUUUGACGGGUAGCCGGCCUGAGAGGGUGACCGGCCACAUUGGGACUGAGAUACGGCCCAGACUCCUACGGGAGGCAGCAGUGGGGAAUAUUGCACAAUGGGCGGAAGCCUGAUGCAGCAACGCCGCGUGCGGGAUGACGGCCUUCGGGUUGUAAACCGCUGUCGCCUGUGACGAAGCGUGAGUGACGGUAAUGGGUAAAGAAGCACCGGCUAACUACGUG